This 1107-nucleotide ribosomal RNA is filed under the name Bacillus sp. (in: firmicutes). RNAcentral describes it as "bacterial SSU rRNA". It matches the Rfam family "Bacterial small subunit ribosomal RNA", at positions 340 to 1440 of the family's 1533-position model. The record is from RNAcentral. Lineage: Bacteria; Bacillati; Bacillota; Bacilli; Caryophanales; Bacillaceae.
UACGGGAGGCAGCAGUAGGGAAUCUUCCGCAAUGGACGAAAGUCUGACGGAGCAACGCCGCGUGAGUGAUGAAGGUUUUCGGAUCGUAAAGCUCUGUUGUUAGGGAAGAACAAGUGCGAGAGUAACUGCUCGCACCUUGACGGUACCUAACCAGAAAGCCACGGCUAACUACGUGCCAGCAGCCGCGGUAAUACGUAGGUGGCAAGCGUUGUCCGGAAUUAUUGGGCGUAAAGGGCUCGCAGGCGGUUUCUUAAGUCUGAUGUGAAAGCCCCCGGCUCAACCGGGGAGGGUCAUUGGAAACUGGGAAACUUGAGUGCAGAAGAGGAGAGUGGAAUUCCACGUGUAGCGGUGAAAUGCGUAGAGAUGUGGAGGAACACCAGUGGCGAAGGCGACUCUCUGGUCUGUAACUGACGCUGAGGAGCGAAAGCGUGGGGAGCGAACAGGAUUAGAUACCCUGGUAGUCCACGCCGUAAACGAUGAGUGCUAAGUGUUAGGGGGUUUCCGCCCCUUAGUGCUGCAGCUAACGCAUUAAGCACUCCGCCUGGGGAGUACGGUCGCAAGACUGAAACUCAAAGGAAUUGACGGGGGCCCGCACAAGCGGUGGAGCAUGUGGUUUAAUUCGAAGCAACGCGAAGAACCUUACCAGGUCUUGACAUCCUCUGACAACCCUAGAGAUAGGGCUUUCCCUUCGGGGACAGAGUGACAGGUGGUGCAUGGUUGUCGUCAGCUCGUGUCGUGAGAUGUUGGGUUAAGUCCCGCAACGAGCGCAACCCUUGAUCUUAGUUGCCAGCAUUUAGUUGGGCACUCUAAGGUGACUGCCGGUGACAAACCGGAGGAAGGUGGGGAUGACGUCAAAUCAUCAUGCCCCUUAUGACCUGGGCUACACACGUGCUACAAUGGACAGAACAAAGGGCUGCGAGACCGCAAGGUUUAGCCAAUCCCAUAAAUCUGUUCUCAGUUCGGAUCGCAGUCUGCAACUCGACUGCGUGAAGCUGGAAUCGCUAGUAAUCGCGGAUCAGCAUGCCGCGGUGAAUACGUUCCCGGGCCUUGUACACACCGCCCGUCACACCACGAGAGUUUGUAACACCCGAAGUCGGUGAGGUAACC